Molecule: non-coding RNA, 480 nt
Organism: Pelobates cultripes (western spadefoot toad)
Lineage: Eukaryota; Metazoa; Chordata; Amphibia; Anura; Pelobatidae
Source: the annotation of a GenBank genome assembly
GUUGAGGUGUGCCGGAACAGACGAUGCUGGUAGACCUGUAAAACAAAGAGGGCCCACCCAAGGUUAAGAAGAGAAGAUAAAGAGGUUAUGAUUGAGUAGUGGGAGUUGUGGGAGGGACAUGCCAAUCGCUAGAACAAAAACGGUGUGGAGCAAGGUAAGGAGUCCCUUUAAGUAAGGAAAUCAUGUUCCUGCCACAACUAAAGGCAAAAUCCUCAAGAAUGGUUAAGGCUUGGUUUUCUUGAUUAGUAUUCUGACAUAACUCAUGAAUGAGAUAUAUUUGAUGGCUGUGUGAGAAUUAAUUUUAAGGUGGCAAAAAGCAGACCGUAGUAAAGAAAACAUGGCAAAUAUGUUGUUAAUAUACUGUACUAAUACUUGGUCAGAGAAUACAUAACCAGAAAGGAGUAAAUGAGCAUGAAUUGUAAAUGAAGGAAAAUGGUUGAAAGGAUACGUAGGCUGGACCAUGCAUGGGUUGAACAUAAA